CGCAGCCGCGGUAAUUCCAGCUCCAAUAGCGUAUAUUAAAGUUGUUGCAGUUAAAAAGCUCGUAGUUGAAUUUCGGGAUCAGUACGCUGGUCGUGCCUUCGGUAUGCACUGGUUUCACUGAUUCCUCCCUUCUGAAGAACCGUAAUGCCAUUCAGUUGGUGUGGCGGGGAAUCAGGAUUGUUACUUUGAAAAAAUUAGAGUGUUUAAAGCAGGCUCGCGCUUGAAUACAUUAGCAUGGAAUAAUGAAAUAGGACGUUUGAUCCUAUUUUGUUGGUUUCUAGGAUUGACGUAAUGAUUAAUAGGGAUAGUUGGGGGCAUUAGUAUUCAAUUGUCAGAGGUGAAAUUCUUGGAUUUAUUGAAGACUAACUACUGCGAAAGCAUUUGCCAAGGAUGUUUUCAUUAAUCAAGACGAAAGUUAGGGGAUCGAAGACGAUCAGAUACCGUCGUAGUCUUAACCAUAAACUAUGCCGACUAGGGAUCGGAUGAUGUUAAUUUUUUAAUGUACUCAUUCGGC
This 514-nucleotide ribosomal RNA is filed under the name uncultured Glomus. RNAcentral's name for it is "SSU rRNA". It matches the Rfam family "Eukaryotic small subunit ribosomal RNA", at positions 569 to 1084 of the family's 1831-position model. The record is from RNAcentral. Lineage: Eukaryota; Fungi; Glomeromycota; Glomeromycetes; Glomerales; Glomeraceae.